UGUCUGAAUAAGGCGAGGCCAAGGGAAACUCUGGUGGAGGAGGCUCGUAGCGAUUCUGACGCGCGAAUCGAUCGCA
This 76-nucleotide ribosomal RNA is filed under the name Octactis speculum. RNAcentral describes it as "partial Eukaryotic large subunit ribosomal RNA". The record is from RNAcentral. Lineage: Eukaryota; Dictyochophyceae; Dictyochales; Dictyochaceae.